RNAcentral lists this ribosomal RNA (856 nucleotides) under uncultured bacterium. RNAcentral describes it as "bacterial SSU rRNA". It matches the Rfam family "Bacterial small subunit ribosomal RNA", at positions 21 to 877 of the family's 1533-position model. The record is from RNAcentral.
GGCUCAGGAUGAACGCUAGCGGCAGGCCUAACACAUGCAAGUCGAGGGGUAACAGGGUAGCAAUAUCGCUGACGACCGGCGCACGGGUGAGUAACGCGUAUGCAACCUUCCUUUAACUGGGGGAUAGCCCGGAGAAAUUCGGAUUAAUACCCCAUAACAUCACAGAAAGGCAUCUUUCAAUGAUUAAAGCUCCGGCGGUUAAAGAUGGGCAUGCGUGCCAUUAGCUAGUUGGUGAGGUAACGGCUCACCAAGGCUACGAUGGUUAGGGGGUCUGAGAGGAUGAUCCCCCACACUGGUACUGAGACACGGACCAGACUCCUACGGGAGGCAGCAGUGAGGAAUAUUGGGCAAUGGGCGCAAGCCUGACCCAGCCAUGCCGCGUGAAGGAUGAAUGCCCUAUGGGUUGUAAACUUCUUUUUUACGGGACAAAACUCUCGGACGUGUCCGGGAUUGAUGGUACUGUAUGAAUAAGCAUCGGCUAACUCCGUGCCAGCAGCCGCGGUAAUACGGAGGAUGCAAGCGUUAUCCGGAUUCAUUGGGUUUAAAGGGUGCGUAGGCGGAAUAAUAAGUCAGCGGUGAAAGCCUGCGGCUUAACCGUAGAAUUGCCAUUGAUACUGUUAUUCUUGAGUAUAGUUGAAGUAGGCGGAAUGUGUAAUGUAGCGGUGAAAUGCUUAGAUAUUACACAGAACACCAAUUGCGAAGGCAGCUUACUAAGCUGUUACUGACGCUGAGGCACGAAAGCGUGGGGAGCAAACAGGAUUAGAUACCCUGGUAGUCCACGCUGUAAACGAUGAUCACUCGUUGUUGGCGAUACACUGUCAGCGACUGAGCGAAAGCAAUAAGUGAUCCACCUGGG